RNAcentral lists this ribosomal RNA (253 nucleotides) under uncultured bacterium. Its description in RNAcentral is "partial 16S ribosomal RNA". It matches the Rfam family "Bacterial small subunit ribosomal RNA", at positions 524 to 776 of the family's 1533-position model. The record is from RNAcentral.
CACGUAGGGGGCGAGCGUUGUCCGGAUUCAUUGGGCGUAAAGCGCGCGCAGGCGGCUCGGAAAGUCGGGUGUGAAAACCUGGGGCUCAACCCCGGGCGUGCAUCCGAUACUGCCGGGCUUGAGGCAGGUAGGGGAGAUCGGAAUUCCUGGUGUAGCGGUGAAAUGCGCAGAUAUCAGGAAGAACACCCGUGGCUAAGGCGGCUCUCUAGUACGGUACUGACGCUGAGACGCGAAAGCGUGGGGAGCGAACAGG